This 436-nucleotide ribosomal RNA is filed under the name uncultured bacterium. Its description in RNAcentral is "partial 16S ribosomal RNA". It matches the Rfam family "Bacterial small subunit ribosomal RNA", at positions 29 to 507 of the family's 1533-position model. The record is from RNAcentral.
AACGAACGCUGGCGGCAUGCCUAACACAUGCAAGUCGAACGAGAUCCUUCGGGGUCUAGUGGCGCACGGGUGCGUAACGCGUGGGAAUCUGCCCUUAGGUUCGGAAUAACAGUUAGAAAUGACUGCUAAUACCGGAUGAUGACGUUAAGUCCAAAGAUUUAUCGCCUGAGGAUGAGCCCGCGUAGGAUUAGCUAGUUGGUGUGGUAAAGGCGCACCAAGGCGACGAUCCUUAGCUGGUCUGAGCGGAUGAUCAGCCACACUGGGACUGAGACACGGCCCAGACUCCUACGGGAGGCAGCAGUGGGGAAUAUUGGACAAUGGGCGCAAGCCUGAUCCAGCAAUGCCGCGUGAGUGAUGAAGGCCUUAGGGUUGUAAAGCUCUUUUACCCGGGAUGAUAAUGACAGUACCGGGAGAAUAAGCCCCGGCUAACUCCGUG